This is a long non-coding RNA of Bufo bufo (common toad), 614 nucleotides long. RefSeq lists it as uncharacterized. The record is from RefSeq and is a predicted model, not a curated record. NCBI's taxonomy places the organism in Eukaryota, Metazoa, Chordata, Amphibia, Anura, Bufonidae. The transcript is spliced from 2 exons.
AAAAGAGAAGGCAGGGAAUGUGAAGAGGUGAGUUCUCCUUUUCAUUCUUUCCCCUGUGAAUGUUUACUGCCCCUCCUAACCCUUUUAUUCUCUGCCCCCUCUCUCUCUCUCUCUCUCUCUCUUCCUAAAAAUAGUAACUCUGGGGAAAAAAAAAAAAAAAAAGAUACUACGGGAAGUUCAGUUAGUAGAAAAUCAGGGAUGGCCAGGGAUCUAGGAAAAAUCGAAGAAGGUUAAAGCGGAGAGAGAGAGCCAGGUUGGCAGAUGUGAAGGGGACGAUACGAAGAGUGCAAGAGAAAGGACAGAGAGGAGGCAGAAGCAACCCGGGAGAGGAGAAAGGAGGGGAGGGAAGGAUGGAUGAAAGCGAGCAAGGGACGAAGCAAGGAGGCAGGCAGCGUUAGGCAGAUCCAUUCAGACACAGAGCAAGAAAAUGGAAAAAAGCACCUCAACAUUUAUUGCACUCUUGCUCCUGACUUCUUAAAUACCCACAAAAUGAUUCAAAUCUGCUGCCUGGACACAUGACAGGGCUUGGAGGGAACAAACACCACAAGGAUUUUUUUUGUAUAUGUUUGAAGGCUCAUUUAAAAUUACAUUGACAUUUACAUAGGUUCUGAACU